GAUGAACGCUGGCGGCGUGCUUAAUACAUGCAAGUCGAACGGAAGGGCCCUGAGCUUGCGGGGUGCAUGAUUGCGGAACGGGUGAGUGACACGCGUGUAUCAUGCCCCUGUCUUUGGGAUAAAACUAGGAAAAAGGGGAUCAUAUAGCAUAGAAGCUCUUGCUGCAUGGUGGGGGAAGGAAAGAGUCGGUGGUGGGGGCUGGACUCGCGGCUUAUCAGCUUGUUUGUGGAGUAGUGGAUUACCAAGGUUUUGACGGGUAGCCGGCCUGAGAGGGUGACCGGCCACAUUGGUACUGAGAGACGGCCCAGACUCCUACGGGAGGCAGCAGUGGGGAAUAUUGCACAAUGGGCGGAAGCCUGAUGCAGCAACGCCGCGUGCGUGAUGACGGCCUUCGGGUUGUAAACCGCUUUCGCCUGUGACGAAGCGUGAGUGACGGUAAUGGGUAAAGAAGCACCGGCUAACUACGUG
Molecule: ribosomal RNA, 468 nt
Filed under: uncultured bacterium
Lineage: Bacteria
Description: partial 16S ribosomal RNA
Rfam family: Bacterial small subunit ribosomal RNA
Source: RNAcentral